This 229-nucleotide ribosomal RNA is filed under the name uncultured bacterium. RNAcentral's name for it is "partial 16S ribosomal RNA". It matches the Rfam family "Bacterial small subunit ribosomal RNA", at positions 568 to 796 of the family's 1533-position model. The record is from RNAcentral.
UCCGUAGGUGGAUAAUUAAGUCAGAGGUGAAAUCCUGCAGCUCAACUGUAGAAUUGCCUUUGAAACUGGUUAUCUUGAGUUAUUAUGAAGUAGUUAGAAUAUGUAGUGUAGCGGUGAAAUGCAUAGAUAUUACAUAGAAUACCAAUUGUGAAGGCAGAUUACUAAUAAUCAACUGACACUGAUGGACGAAAGCGUGGGGAGCGAACAGGAUUAGAUACCCUGGUAGUCC